CCUACGGGAGGCAGCAGUGAGGAAUAUUGGUCAAUGGCCGGAAGGCUGAACCAGCCAAGCCGCGUGAAGGACGAAGGUGCCAAGCAUUGUAAACUUCUUUUGUCAAGGGACAAAAUCAGGCUCGAGAGCCUGACCGAGGGUACUUGAAGAAAAAGCAUCGGCUAACUCGGUGCCAGCAGCCGCGGUAAUACGGAGGAUGCGCGCGUUAUCCGGAUUGAUUGGGUUUAAAGGGUGCGUAGGCGGGCUGUUAAGUCAGCGGUAAAAGCCCGGGGCUCAACCCCGGCGAGCCGUUGAAACUGGCUGUCUUGAGAUGUCGAGAGGUAUGCGGAAUGCGCAGUGUAGCGGUGAAAUGCUUAGAUAUUGCGCAGAACUCCGAUUGCGAAGGCAGCAUACCGGCGGCGAUCUGACGCUGAGGCACGAAAGCGUGGGUAUCGAACAGGAUUAGAUACCCCAGUAGUC
This 459-nucleotide ribosomal RNA is filed under the name uncultured bacterium. Its description in RNAcentral is "partial 16S ribosomal RNA". It matches the Rfam family "Bacterial small subunit ribosomal RNA", at positions 338 to 795 of the family's 1533-position model. The record is from RNAcentral.